UGGCGUUGGUCUAUGCGUCUUCUUUUCUAGACAAAUAACCUUUCUCUCGAACAGGUUAGAUGUUAGAAUGGCGUGUUCUUGUGUUUGAACCGCAAAGAAUGUAGAUUUAAGAUGAAGAGAAUAAUGAUAUAAGCAAUAUACUUGUCUUGAACUCACAAACUCAUAGCUAUAGAUAGUAACUCAUUCGGCUUCCAUAACCCCAACUAAGAGAUUUAGUUACCCAUGAAUGCGAAGGAUAUCACGUUUUGCAUGGUGGAUGGCGUGAAUAGUAGGUGUUUGGCGUGUGGUUUUAGUGAUUCCGUAGCAAGUAACGAUUCUCUUGUUGUGGAAUUUAAGAGUAGAAGAAUGAAGAAUUGAGAAUGGGUUGUAGGAAGAUGUCUUAAUUGUAAGGAGAUGAAUGAAUUGUCAGAAUGUCUCCCCCCCCCCUUCAAAAUCUCUAACAUGAUAGGGUAUUUAUAAUACUCCUAUCCUACUCCUACUAAACUAAUAAAAUAAAUAACCAAAUCCUAAUAUACUAAUGAAAUCCUUGACCCAAUUGUACUAGGGUAAGGUUACAAAAUUAUAAUCCAAAUAGAAUGAUGAAACACAUAACCUAAUUGCACUAGGUUAAUGUAUUAUGGCAAAAAUCCAGCUUUGUGUCUGUAAGUCCCAAAGUCUUCAGAAAUGCUGUUUUAGCCCGGGACAGAUUUUCCAUGCAGCAGAUUUAGUCCUUUAUGCGUCCAGCUCCUUUCCAUCUCGUUUGUGAGCUUUCUUUUGCGUCAAGUAAGCCAUAAAUUGCUGUAUUUUGCAUCAUUUAUACCUGAAACUUUCCUAAUCACA
Molecule: long non-coding RNA, 819 nt
Filed under: Capsicum annuum
Lineage: Eukaryota; Viridiplantae; Streptophyta; Magnoliopsida; Solanales; Solanaceae
Description: long non-coding RNA (CANN_LNC012541)
Source: RNAcentral